Molecule: ribosomal RNA, 521 nt
Filed under: uncultured bacterium
Lineage: Bacteria
Description: partial 16S ribosomal RNA
Rfam family: Bacterial small subunit ribosomal RNA
Source: RNAcentral
UGGGGAAUAUUGGACAAUGGGCGCAAGCCUGAUCCAGCAAUGCCGCGUGUGUGAAGAAGGCCUUCGGGUUGUAAAGCACUUUUAUCAGGAGCGAAACGCUGUCGGCUAAUACCCGGCGGAACUGACGGUACCUGAGGAAUAAGCACCGGCUAACUUCGUGCCAGCAGCCGCGGUAAUACGAAGGGUGCAAGCGUUAAUCGGAAUUACUGGGCGUAAAGCGUGCGUAGGCGGUUUCUUAAGUCUGCUGUGAAAUCCCCGGGCUCAACCUGGGAAUGGCAGUGGAUACUGGGAGGCUAGAGUGUGUCAGAGGGUGGUGGAAUUCCCGGUGUAGCGGUGAAAUGCGUAGAGAUCGGGAGGAACAUCAGUGGCGAAGGCGGCCACCUGGGACAACACUGACGCUGAGGCACGAAAGCGUGGGGAGCAAACAGGAUUAGAUACCCUGGUAGUCCACGCCCUAAAGCGAUGCGAACUGGAUGUUGGUCUCAACUCGGAGAUCAGUGUCGAAGCUAACGCGUUAAGUU